UUCACGAUAACUGUGCGUCCCUUCAGAGU
This 29-nucleotide non-coding RNA is filed under the name Homo sapiens (human). Lineage: Eukaryota; Metazoa; Chordata; Mammalia; Primates; Hominidae. The record is from RNAcentral.